Molecule: non-coding RNA, 72 nt
Organism: Phrynosoma platyrhinos (Desert horned lizard)
Lineage: Eukaryota; Metazoa; Chordata; Lepidosauria; Squamata; Phrynosomatidae
Source: the annotation of a GenBank genome assembly
GGCAGUGUUGCAUAGUGGUUUGAGUGCUGAACUACACCUCUGGAGACCAAGGUUCAAUUCCCAGCUCAGCCA